AGCUCAGUGAGUAGAGCAUGAGAUUCUUAAUCUCAAGGUUGUGGGUUCAAGCCCCAC
Molecule: transfer RNA, 57 nt
Filed under: Mesocricetus auratus (golden hamster)
Lineage: Eukaryota; Metazoa; Chordata; Mammalia; Rodentia; Cricetidae
Rfam family: tRNA
About the family: Transfer RNA (tRNA) molecules are approximately 80 nucleotides in length. Their secondary structure includes four short double-helical elements and three loops (D, anti-codon, and T loops).
Source: Rfam by way of RNAcentral